This 77-nucleotide transfer RNA is filed under the name Bacillota bacterium. RNAcentral's name for it is "tRNA-Arg". It matches the Rfam family "tRNA". Rfam says of the family: Transfer RNA (tRNA) molecules are approximately 80 nucleotides in length. Their secondary structure includes four short double-helical elements and three loops (D, anti-codon, and T loops). Further hydrogen bonds mediate the characteristic L-shaped molecular structure. tRNAs have two regions of fundamental functional importance: the anti-codon, which is responsible for specific mRNA codon recognition, and the 3' end, to which the tRNAs corresponding amino acid is attached (by aminoacyl-tRNA synthetases). tRNAs cope with the degeneracy of the genetic code in two manners: having more than one tRNA (with a specific anti-codon) for a particular amino acid; and 'wobble' base-pairing, i.e. permitting non-standard base-pairing at the 3rd anti-codon position. The record is from RNAcentral. Lineage: Bacteria; Bacillati; Bacillota.
GCGCCCAUAGCUCAGCGGAACAGAGCGUCUGCCUUCUAAGCAGAGGGUCGUAGGUUCGAAUCCUACUGGGCGCGCCA